AGUGCCGCUCACGCCCGGU
This 19-nucleotide non-coding RNA is filed under the name Arabidopsis thaliana (thale cress). The record is from RNAcentral. Lineage: Eukaryota; Viridiplantae; Streptophyta; Magnoliopsida; Brassicales; Brassicaceae.